RNAcentral lists this ribosomal RNA (423 nucleotides) under uncultured bacterium. RNAcentral's name for it is "bacterial SSU rRNA". It matches the Rfam family "Bacterial small subunit ribosomal RNA", at positions 207 to 622 of the family's 1533-position model. The record is from RNAcentral.
AAGACCUUGCACUUUUGGAGCGGCCGAUGUCUGAUUAGCUAGUUGGUGGGGUAAAGGCCUACCAAAGCUUCGAUCAGUAGCUGGUCUGAGAGGACGGCCAGCCACACUGGGACUGAGACACGGCCCAGACUCCUACGGGAGGCAGCAGUGGGGAAUUUUGGACAAUGGGCGCAAGCCUGAUCCAGCCAUGCCGCGUGAGUGAAGAAGGCCUUCGGGUUGUAAAGCUCUUUCAGCCGGGAAGAAAAGGCUGCGACUAAUAAUCGCAGUUCAUGACGGUACCGGAAGGAGAAGCACCGGCUAACUACGUGCCAGCAGCCGCGGUAAUACGUAGGGUGCGAGCGUUAAUCGGAAUUACUGGGCGUAAAGGGUGCGCAGGCGGUUUUGUAAGUCAGAUGUGAAAUCCCCGGGCUUAACCUGGGAACU